GACCAGCGGAGGGAUCAUUACAGAGUUUCUAACUCACAACCCAUCGUGAACAUACCUUUGUUGCUUCGGCGCGCUUCACGGCCGCCGAAGACCCUAAACUCUUGUUUUUACAUGUGUUACUCUGAGUAAAUCUUGAAAUAAAUCAAAACCUUCAACAACGGAUCUCUUGGCUCUGGCAUCGAUGAAGAACGCAGCGAAAUGCGAAAAGUAAUGUGAAUUGCAGAAUUCAGUGAAUCAUCGAAUCUUUGAACGCACAUUGCGCCCGCUGGUACUCCGGCGGGCACGCCUGUCCGAGCGUCAUUUCAACCCUCAAGCCCUCCUUCGGGACGGGCCUGGUGUUGGGGCUCGGCCGCCAUCUCCGGCGGCCGUCCCCUAAAUACAGUGGCGGUCACGUCGCGACUCCUUUGCGUAGUAGAAACACCUCGCUCCGGAUAGCAACGCGGUCCACGCCGUAAAACCCCCAAUUUUUAAUGGUUGACCUCGGAUCAGGUGGGAAUACCCGCUGAACUUAAGCAUAUCAAUAAGCGGAGGA
This 532-nucleotide ribosomal RNA is filed under the name uncultured Hypocreales. Its description in RNAcentral is "eukaryotic LSU rRNA". The stretch from base 147 to 300 matches the Rfam family "5.8S ribosomal RNA". Lineage: Eukaryota; Fungi; Ascomycota; Sordariomycetes; Hypocreales. The record is from RNAcentral.